Non-coding RNA from Cinara cedri, 341 nucleotides. The record is from the annotation of a GenBank genome assembly. Lineage: Eukaryota; Metazoa; Arthropoda; Insecta; Hemiptera; Aphididae.
CAUCCCCAGUAUCAGCCCUUUUUUUAGAUUUAUUAUUGUAACGAAUUUCUGCUAAGCGAAAAAAUAGUGCGGCUAUCGAAUUUCCAUAAAGUUUAACAGUCUUUCGGUACAAAUGGUACCGUCGGAAAAUGGAAAUAUUUACGGCUUACGGAAUAACGGUUUUGUUAUUUUCAAUUUUGGUACAUUGUUGGAAUGCAGUUUAAAAUAAUUGUAGACACAAGAUAUUUUCAUCGAAUACUUUAAUGAACUCUUUUUAGACGUUGUACAACAUUCCGACGUAUUUUUAUUUUGAUUUUUUCGAAAAUUUAAUAAACGUUUGAUCAUUAGUUGUUCUUAUGGCA